UUAAGACCCUCCUUGUAACCGCAUGGGAGUGUCUGCUAGCAGCCUUCAGAUGAAGAUAAAGAACUCUCAGCUCCUCCUGCACCAUGCCUGCCUACAUGCUGUCAUGCUCCUACCAAGAUGAUAAUGGACUGAACCUCUAAAACUGGAUUGAACCCAGAGCCUCAGACUUGCUAGACAUAACACACUUUGCAGGGAAGAGAAAAAUAAAUCAGGAACUGACCUGGGAACUUCCUCUCUGCUGGCUGGCUUUUUUGGAGCUGGAAGGCGCUGUGUGGAGGAUCAAAGACGCAGUGGUUGCUCAGAGAAGUGGACCCUACAUGCUGCGGAAAAUGCCUGGCUUGGUACUGUUGGUGAGGCUACAGUUACAAAGUAAAACCAAAUGUACUGGAAUAGUGGUGCUUGGAGAAGAUUCAAAGCAGUAUUAAGGAUGGAGAAUAUAACUUACUUAUCUCAAAUUCCCGAAGAUGAAGUCUAUGACAAGAAGCCAGCACUAGCGUGCGAGCACAAACUGGCCUUGAAUUCUAUAUCCUCCUGACUCUACCACCAAGAUCAUAUAUCACCAUAGUCAUGCCCUAUUUUUCAAAAUAUUGCUUUGGAAAAAAACAGCUAGAGAAAAUGUAUAUUACCUACAAGAUUUGAAUGACUGAUUCAUAUGUUUAAACUCCAUUGACCAACAGACAACUCAUUCUACAAAAGGGAUUUUUUUAGUCUUUAAUUCAAUAAGUUAACUUAAGAAACGUUGUACUGGCGGUAGCCUGUAAUCCGGUACUCAGAGCUCUGAGAGAGAAGAAACACCAUAAGUUCUGUGCCAGCCGCUGAUAGUGAAACCCUGCCUGCACAACCAGGAGAAUACAAUGUAUAACAGGGCAAGCACCGGCGUACAUGCUGCGACCCCAGUGCUCAGAGCAGACCAGACGGCAGGAGGACCCGGUGUUCAAGGUUAUCCUCAACCACACAGCCACGUCUCUUCCCCGUUCUCCGCCCUCGUGCUGGGUGUCCUUGUCUGCCUUCCUCAGCACAGAUUCCCACCAUUUCAGAACCAAAUAAUUCCCGGCCAAGAGACAGAAGCUAAGUGGCCCCAGUUUUUGAAGGAUGCAGGUUACAACUGAUAAUAAGGCCACGUACGGGAUGCUGGUGAGAUUGCUUAGCAGUGAAAAGCCAUGUGGAGCUCUGCAGAAGACCUGAGCUGGGAUUCCCUGCUCCGUGUCAAGAUCUUACAACAACUACCUGUAUUACAGGUCCAAGGGCCCCAGACACUCUUUUGGACUCCAAGGGCACAUGUGCUCAUGUGUACAUACUCCCACACAGAUACACACACACACACACACACACACACACACGAUGUUAAAGUAAAUUAAAUCUUAAAAAAACACAAUAAGUGGCCUGGCAUGGUGGCACAUGCCUGUAAUCCCAGUACUUGGGAAGCAGAGGCAGGCAGAUUUCUGAGUUCGAGGUCAGCCUGGUCUACAGAGUGAGUUCCAGGACAGUCAAGACCACACAGAGAAACCUUGUCUCGAAAAACCAAAACAAACAAACAAACAAACAAACAAACAAAAAACCACACACACUCAAUAAGUAAAUAAACAAAUCAGGAGCUGGAGAGAUUUCUCAUCGGCGAAGAACUCUUGCUGGGCGGGCAGUGGUGGCACACGCCUUCCCAGAAACUCAGAAGGCAAACAGGUGGGCUGCUGAGUUUCAGUUAAGGCCAGCCUGGUCUACAGACAAGUUCCAGGACAGCCAGGGCUACACAGAGAAACUGUCUGUCUUGAGGUGGGGAGUGGGGGGUAAGGAACACUUGCUGUUGUAGUGACAGUUUUAGUGUCUUUAAAAAACACAGAAAUCAAACCAGGCAGUGGUGGCGCACACCUGUAGUCCCAGGGGAGGAAGAAGCAGGCAGAUUUCUGAGUUCGAGUCCAGCCUGGUCUACAGAGUGAGUUCCAGGGCUAUACAGAGAAACCCUGUCUUGAAAAAAACAAAUCCAAAAUACUAAUUAAUUAAUUAAUUAAUUAAUUAAUUAAAAUAAACCACAAAAAUCGUAUAAGAAUGUGCUUUCAUUUUAAUCCCAGGCAGAGGGACAGGGGGCUGCUUCAGACUGUCUGUAUCUGCUGACUCAUCAUUUGCCUCCUGCUUUAGCAGAGGCAUGGUCUUCCCAGCUGCAGGUGACCCCAUGUGUGACUCCAUGUGACUCCAUGUGUAGCCAACAUGAUUGACCCCCAUAUGUGACUCCAUGUGUGACCCCAUCUGUGAUUCCAUGUAUGACUUCAUGUGUGGCCAACAUAUGUGACCCCCAGGUGUGACUCCAGAUAUGACUCCACAUGUGAUCUCAUGUGUGGCCAAUAUGUGUGACCCCCUGUGACUCCAUGUGUGACCCCCAGGUGUGACUCCAUAAUGACCCUAGGUGUGACUCCAGAUAUGACUCCAUAUGUGACCCCAUGUGUGGCUCCAUGUGACUCCAUGUAACUCCAGGUGUGACUCCAUGUGUGACUCCAGGUAUGACUCUGUGUGACUCCAGUUGUGACUCUAGGUGUGACCCCAGAUGUGACUCCAUGUGUGACCCCAGGUAUGAUAUAUGUGUGACUCCAGAUGUGACCCCAGGUGUGACUCCAUGUGUAACCCCCAGGUAUGACUCCAUGUGUGACUCCCCAGGUAUGACUAUAUGUGUGACUCCAGAUGUUACCCCCAGGUGUGACUCCAGGUAUGACUCUAGCUGUGACUCCGGCCACCCCACCUUCCCUGCUAUGAUGAUCUAUAAGUGGGGUGAGCUAAGAUAACCACUCUCCUUUAAAAAUCAAAACAAAACAAAAUGCAUCAAAGAACCACGAGUGACUCACAGAAUGUUUAAGACAUUCUAAGGGGAGGGCGGGAAGAUGGUAUCCUAGCAGCUGCCUCUGGAGUGCUGGGGUAAAAGGCAUGUGCCACCACGCCCAGCGCAGGUCAUUUGGAAGGAGGAGGGGAGAGGAGAAAGCAGACCCUUACAUUGCCUUUAUUCUGUUUCUAGUUAGAAAGUUAAUUUGACUCAUAGAUAGCUGUGGUAGCCCACUCCUUUAAUCCCAGAACUCAGGAGACAGAGACAAGCAGAUGUCUGGGCAUUUCAGGAUUUCAGGGUUUCUCUGUGUAGCCGUGGCUGUCCUGGAUUGACUCACUCUGUAGACCAGGCUAGCCUUGAAUUCAGAAAUCUGCCUGCCUCUGCCUCCCAAGUGCUGGGAUUACAGGCAUGCACCACCCGGCUACACAUGUUAAUAACACACACAAAAAAUGUUAAAGAGGGGGCUGGAGAGAUUGCUCAGCAGUUAAGAGCACCGACUGCUCUUCCAGUGGUCUUGAGUUCAAGUCCCAGCAACCACGUAGUGGCUCACAGCCAUCUGUAAUGGGACCCAAUGUUACGCUUCUGGUGUGUCCGAACACAGCUACACUGUACUCAUAUAAAAUAAAUCUUUUUUUAAAUGUUGAAGAGUAUGCCGUGCAUGGCCCUCCUUUGCAGUUGGACAGAGGGACAAGGUCAUGUGACAGCCCCAGGGGCAGGCUGAGUAAACUGCACGCUUCCCACUCUGGUUGCCACCUCAUCUACUGCCUCCAGCUGUCUGCUUCCCAUUUCUCUUGGUCCCCACGACCUGCCUCAGAAAACGGAUGCUCCACCCUCCUCUGCCGUCCCUGCCGCCCCAGAGGGAGGUCUUUCUGCUUCCAUGGCAUCUGACACCUGUUCUGACUUUUGCGGGCAUCAGAAAUAGAUGGUACAGAGACGUGCAUGCAGGAAAUGCCUGGUCUGGAGCUGCUGUUGUGUCGAUGACCAUAUAUGGUCUCUCACCUGAUUUUAUCGUGAUGUUCGUCUCAUCUCUUUGCAAAGGGGAAGUGUGGACUCACAGUUCUGGUCCCAAGUGCUCAGAAGCUAUGAUUUGAUCUCCUUUAGUGACCAUGAAGUCUCCCGGGGUUCACUUCAAAUACAGAACGCAUGCCAGAGACGUGCCUCAGCCGUGGAGCACGCGCUACUCUUGCAGACGACCUGAAUUUGGAUCCCAUCAUCCACAUCAGUUUGGUCACAUCUCCGGCACAUCUCUUGGAACCUACUGCUUCAGGAUUCUAGCUUCUACAGAAGACCAGCUGAAACACCCAGCCUCGUGGGACUGAGCAACUGCUAGACUCUUGGACUUUCCAUUCACAGCUGACCAUCGUCGGGUCAGUUGGACUGCAGACACUGAGUCAUCACAAUAAAUUCCCUCAAUAUAGAGAAA
Apodemus sylvaticus (European woodmouse) is the source of this 4229-nucleotide long non-coding RNA. RefSeq lists it as uncharacterized. The record is from RefSeq and is a predicted model, not a curated record. NCBI's taxonomy places the organism in Eukaryota, Metazoa, Chordata, Mammalia, Rodentia, Muridae. The transcript has 10 exons.